CCAGAAGUGGUAGACUGCCUGGAAGUCUAAGAUCCAGGGCUGAAGCUUGUCAGGAACACAGAGAAGGCGUGGGAGCAGGAAAGGCCUUGGAGGAGGGGCCGGUGGGGGGAAAACAUGCAGAAUACCAUCGGAGCUCCUCUGGAACAUGUCCUUGUCUUCUCAGAGUGUGAAGUGUGUGUGUGACAGUGCUUUUCUGAGGACUCAGGUGACCUGGAGGCUGGAGAACAGCAUGGAGCAAGGAAAACAAAGACGAUGUGCUGGAGUGUAUGUUGCUUUCAUAAUUAUGUGAAAGAAAAUGUAGAGAAAUUUGAAAGUGACCUUGAUCCUGGGAAAGCAGGUGCCAUGGACGGAGAGGGAGGCCAGAAUAUAAGUCACCAGGAAAAAGUGCCACUGCUGCAAACUCUCCCAACACGCCCAACCUCAUCACCGGGUUAUGAGGAGAGUGAAUCUCAGAUGAAAAUCCACCACCCCAUGCUGUGUCCAGCCAUGCUGGAGCCUGAGCAAAAGGAAGAAUGUGUGCCUCUGUGUACCUUUAUUAAUAGUUAAUAUUUAUAUUAUUAUAUCAUUAGUAUAGAAUAUCUUUUUUUUUUUUUUUUGAGAUGGAGUCUUGCUCUGUUGCCCAGGCUGGAGUGCAGUGGCAUGAUCUUGGUUCACUGCAGCCUCCGCCUCCCGGGUUCAAGCGAUUCUCCUGCCUCAGCCUCCUGAGUAGCUGGGAUUACAGGCACCCACCAUGAUGCCCGGCUAAUUUUUGUAUUUUUAAUAAAGAUGGGGUUUCACCAUGUUGGUCAGGCUGGUCUUGAACUCCUGACUGCAGGUGAUCCACUUGCCUCGGCCUCCCAAAGUGCUGGGAUUACAGGUGUGAGCCACUGUGCCCAGCCUCAUAUAUUAUCUUUUAUAUUUACUAUACAUUAUAAAUAUGUA
This 921-nucleotide long non-coding RNA is filed under the name Homo sapiens (human). RNAcentral's name for it is "HSALNT0372827". The record is from RNAcentral. Lineage: Eukaryota; Metazoa; Chordata; Mammalia; Primates; Hominidae.